Molecule: non-coding RNA, 30 nt
Filed under: Homo sapiens (human)
Lineage: Eukaryota; Metazoa; Chordata; Mammalia; Primates; Hominidae
Source: RNAcentral
UACAUGUGGACUUCUGUUUUAGCUUUGGGA